This 228-nucleotide ribosomal RNA is filed under the name Bradyrhizobium sp. Stro5.3. RNAcentral describes it as "partial 16S ribosomal RNA". It matches the Rfam family "Bacterial small subunit ribosomal RNA", at positions 30 to 269 of the family's 1533-position model. Lineage: Bacteria; Pseudomonadati; Pseudomonadota; Alphaproteobacteria; Hyphomicrobiales; Nitrobacteraceae. The record is from RNAcentral.
UGUGGGAACCNAANCGAACGCUUGGCGGCAGGCUUAACACAUGCAAGUCGAGCGGGCGUAGCAAUACGUCAGCGGCAGACGGGUGAGUAACGCGUGGGAACAUACCUUUUGGUUCGGAACAACACAGGGAAACUUGUGCUAAUACCGGAUAAGCCCUUACGGGGAAAGAUUUAUCGCCGAAAGAUUGGCCCGCGUCUGAUUAGCUAGUUGGUGAGGUAAUGGCUCACC